This 455-nucleotide ribosomal RNA is filed under the name uncultured organism. RNAcentral describes it as "partial 16S ribosomal RNA". It matches the Rfam family "Bacterial small subunit ribosomal RNA", at positions 334 to 797 of the family's 1533-position model. The record is from RNAcentral.
CACUCCUACGGGAGGCAGCAGUGGGGAAUAUUGCACAAUGGGCGCAAGCCUGAUGCAGCGACGCCGCGUGGGGGAUGAAGGCCUUCGGGUUGUAAACUCCUUUCGCUAGGGACGAAGCUUUUUUGUGACGGUACCUAGAUAAGAAGCACCGGCUAACUACGUGCCAGCAGCCGCGGUAAUACGUAGGGUGCGAGCGUUGUCCGGAAUUACUGGGCGUAAAGGGCUCGUAGGUGGUUUGUCGCGUCGUCUGUGAAAUUCUGGGGCUUAACUCCGGGCGUGCAGGCGAUACGGGCAUAACUUGAGUGCUGUAGGGGUAACUGGAAUUCCUGGUGUAGCGGUGAAAUGCGCAGAUAUCAGGAGGAACACCGAUGGCGAAGGCAGGUUACUGGGCAGUUACUGACGCUGAGGAGCGAAAGCAUGGGUAGCGAACAGGAUUAGAAACCCUAGUAGUCCCA